UACUCAUGGACAAGGCUUGGCUCAUGUCAAAGGAAAUAAAGUUGUUUUAUUCAUUUACAGUAGUGUAAAUUUUUGUUCCCUUUAUGUGGAAAUUAGAGAUUUUGUAGUGAAUAAUGGAGCUACCUACUGUCAAAUGAAUGAAUGACAAAAACAAUGGAGCCUUGGUUAUCAUGACAGCUUUUAAGAUUGAUGUAUGUGCAUAAUACACCAUUAAAACUGUUGAUGUGUCCCAUUACAGUCAUAAAACAUUCAUGUAAUAGGAAUUUAGUUUAUGGUGGAAUAAUAAUAAUUCUAAUAUAAUACAGUUUCCAUUAACGUAAUAGAUUUUACCUGCCAUUGAUGUGACAACUUUCAUGCUGUCAGUGUAACAGAUAUCACAUGAUUGGAUUUUAUUGCCCAAAAAUGUGUAUCAGUAUACCAAUUAUAGUACUUAAUUAAAAAGGUUUUUUAUGUGUAACAACUGAACUGAGGCUGUAAAAACAAGCUAAUUGCACAGCGUUCGAACAUUUGCACAUUUGGUUUUAAACUAAGAAAGUGAUGAUUGUAUCAUCAGAAAGUGUUAGCAUCACGGGACGUUAUCAUGUUAGUUUCUUUUAUAGUCUUUAGGGUUGAUAGGAUCGUUUUGCAAGGAGAAAAUAUUUAAGAUGAGCAGCCUGUUCUCCCAAAGAUUUCUGAUCUGUUAUCUGACCGAUUACUUUUGAUUAAAAUAAAUAAUCAAAUAUAGCCACUGUGUACUGAAGAGAUGUGUGUUUUUAUAUUGACAUCCUUGAUUAAAGUAAACCGUCUGUCCUUUAACCUCACAGUCAUUAUGUCUUUGCCAUGUAAAAAGAAAUCAAUACAACAAACUAAAAAUUCAAUCUCACUCAGUACUGUCCCAUCAUAACAACUCCUCGAUCUUGGUGGAAGCGCGCCUCAUCGUUUGAAUUCAUUUUAAAACACUCAGCCACUGGCUCUGUUUAGACAGAGAUUUAUUGUAAUGAAGAUAUUAACCCUGAAAUUUAUUUUCUGAUAUUUUCACAGAGGAAGUGAGAAUGACAACUAAAUGUGAUGAUUCUGUAGACUGUUAAAGGCUUUACAUUUGUGGAGUAGAUUUGUCAGGAAGUGAAUCUGUCUUUUGCAUUAUAAUAGAUUCAUUUAGUUUAUCUAUAGGUACAGAUGGUCAAAAUCUUUGAAGGAUAAAAAUACCCAAAAGAUGGUUUGAAUAAAUUAUCUUAAAAAUAGCUGGUCUGAUACUGUGAGAUUUUAUUUUGACCUGAGUCUGUCUGAGGGCUUGUUGCUCGAUUACAAAAGGUCUGUCAAUGCAAAUGGAUAGCUUGUAGGUAAUUCAGUAAUGACUAAGAGGGUGCUCAGGUGGGACGUAAUAGAGUGUUAAAUGAGUGAUGCAAAGCUUCACAGACUCAGCUGAAUAGGGAGAGGUUGCACUGGCUGCUUUCAGUGCCGCCUAAUAUACAUACAGUAUUUUUCGUAUGUGUGAGAGCAACUGAUGGGCAAGAUUAAAUUAAUGAUGAUGUUGUACAUGAAACAUACCAAGUGCACUUCUCAAGAGUACUUAUUCACUUAAAGCAAAUGUCCUGUAAUGAUGAUUCACUUAAAUUUACUUCAUCAAUUUUAAUGCAGUAAUAACAUCGUCGGUUAAUCAAAGUAAAAAUGCUGGGCAGUAAUAUAAAUUGCUGAGUGUGAUCAGACUUAAAGACUUGUAACCGUUAUUCGUGCCAUGUAUAUUUCUGAUAUAAAUCAUUUAUAUAGAAAUGGCCUUGAAUGAAUGAGCAAAAAACUGCUCUGUGUCUCUCUCUCCAGUACUUGAAAUAGGAUGUAGAUUUAGAUUGAUCACUCAGGCAUUUUUCUCCUCCUGUGAACUAACCGUGACAAUGUCUGGAACAUUGUUUUGCUUAUUUGAGCAUAGAACAGGCUUGAAAAAGCAUCCCAGUAACAACGCAGUGUCUGAUCCAUGUUACAUUUGUAUUCACAGUACUAAAAGACAUAGAUUUUGAAGUCAUUCAUCGGUAUAGCAACCAUAGUGCAGACUUUUAGAAGCAUAGCUCCCAGGUGCAUGGUUUAUUAUAUAGAGAGCAGAUGUAGCUUGAAGAAACAUUGCUAUUUGAAAGUAUUUAAUUGGAGACUGCAUUUCAAGACAGCCAGCUCUGCCGCUGGUUUUAUUCUAAUUGCCAGCAGCAAUGCACUUAAUGAAGCAAGUGGUGAAGAGUGUGGAUAAAAGAGUGAGAGUGACCAGGUUUCCAAGGCAACAGCAGCGGUAGCCGAGUAGUGCUUUCAUCUUGAGGAAAAGGCUACAGGAGAGCAGUGUUUCCCUGCAGUGCUUCCUGCAGCAGAAUGAAUAUCUAUACAGUAAUAGAUAUAUUUGUGGAAAUGUUGCAGAGGUGAAAAAUGUACGCAAACCUGUGGAGUAAGGCCUAUACAAUCCAGCAGAACAACAGAAGUACAAUAGUGCACCAACUUAAAAGUAACUCUGCAGAGAGAGAGCUUUGAAAGCUUUCUGUCUUAAGAUUUGCCCAAAAAUGCCUUACAAAUCUAUAUCAGUGCAAUUUCUUUGGAUUCCAGAAGGUGUCCAUUUGCACUGUUUCAACCACAGAUGCCCACAAUGGAUCAUUAUUACCCAUGCAGUACAGUUCUACAAACCCAAGCCCGUGGCUCCAACAAAGUAUCAGGUUUGGGGUUUUUUGGUGCACUCCAGCCUCGGGUCGCGUUCAGGUUUGGUUAUUUUCAAAUAUCAUUUAUAAAGAAAUAGCUCUCUUUCUUUUUGCCAAUGGUCUGCAUCCAUGUGUGUCAAGUGUUCCAAGUAGGACACAUUAUGCCCAGCAGGAAAAGACAAAAGAAGCAGAGUGUAGCCGAUGUGUUGCAUUAGCCUAACGGUCAGUAAUGGAUGAAAUAAAGCAAAAAUUUGCUAAAGGGAGAGUCUCAAAAUCCACAGUGAUUCAGGAUAUACUCAUUCACUGUAGGAACAUUAUGGCUGUACAUAGAACUGUCAAGUUCAGUUGGGAAAGACACUCAGUGUUUAAACAAGCCAGGAUCUAGCUAGUUAAUGUUGAGCUUGAUCACACAUUCUCAAACCUACCUCAUAACUGAUAGACCCUCAGUGCAUUCCAAAAUAAACCUGAGAAUUCUGUAGAUAAAUGUAGUCCAUAAUUCUGUUUCUUCCAAGAACCUGUAACAUCAGAUAACAUUACUUACAAAGACAGAACAUUACUGAAUGCAAGCUGCUUCUUAUUAACGCUAGUGCAACAGACUCUGACUACGACAGCCAAAUCAAGGUCUGUGAAGAGAAGAACAGACAACUAAGAUCUGGCAGUGUGUGAAAGAGAAUAAAUGUAUUCGUAGAGAAAGCAGAGAGCUCAGUGCUGCACACACAAUGACCAGAAAGAUGUUGCUGCAUGUGAAUGAUGCAACCACAAGAGAUGACGUAUUAGAGGCGUAGUGAGAGUUCACAGCUAAUAGAGAAAAUGCCAGCUUGACAGUAAGCCUAUGAGACGUAUCAUCAGUAUUUUACUCAUGACCACUGGCAAGAUAAUUAUCCCACAAAAUGUCAGACCUCUGAGGCUGGAAAAACUGCAUCUGGCCCACCAAGGCUUCAAUCAAUCAAAAGCCAAUGUGAGACAGCUUGUAUGAUGGCAAGGCUUGAUUUAAGAUUUUAAACUGCUUAAUAAAAAUGUGGUAUUUAUUCUCAUUUCAUUUUCCUUAUUUAUGUGUUAAAUAUUUAUUUCUCAUGGGUAAUCCAUAUACAAUUGUCCCAUUGUUUAUUAAAGAAUGCAUAGCUUGUUCUAUUGUUGCCAUUAAUCUCAUUGUUCCAAUAAUCCUAAAUUGCUAGAUGUUUAGGCUAUUUAAUACAUUUACUUUACAAUUGAGCAAUGUUCUGCCUUAUUCAUGCUUAAUUAUAUCAUUAUGCUUAAGUGGCAAAUUCUUCUCUCUGUUUACUAGGCCAAUGUCAAUGAUUCUUUUCAAAUGAAUGAACUACACUUUUAUGCCUGAUUAAGAAAGAAGAAACUGAAUUUGGAGCUCUAAGACAAGACAGGCAAGAGAGCGUGUGUGUGUGCACUGGCUCAUGCAUGAUGAUUGGAGUUUCAUUUUCUCAGCUCCGCUAAGAGCGUUGUCUGUAUGCAUCACUGCAGUGAAAUGGACUCUUGCUACAAAAGAUGUUCAUGGGAAGAGAGUUGGGGAGAGGGUUGAGGAGUACGCUUCCAAGCACAAGCACAGUCGUGUAGGCAUCUACUCCAAAAGGAUUUCACACUUGAUUAAAACCUCUCCACAGCUUCCAGGAGGUUUAUGCCACACCAAGCGGCCCCGUGUAAAAUUCGGUGUAGCUCCACAACUAAAAAUCAGUGUACUGGGAAUAA
This is a long non-coding RNA of Siniperca chuatsi (mandarin fish), 4346 nucleotides long. RefSeq lists it as uncharacterized. The record is from RefSeq and is a predicted model, not a curated record. The transcript has 3 exons. Lineage: Eukaryota; Metazoa; Chordata; Actinopteri; Centrarchiformes; Sinipercidae.